Molecule: non-coding RNA, 2625 nt
Organism: Nomia melanderi (Alkali bee)
Lineage: Eukaryota; Metazoa; Arthropoda; Insecta; Hymenoptera; Halictidae
Source: RefSeq, a predicted model, not a curated record
CUCUCCCUUUCUCUCUCGCGUGUUGUUCCGAACCUAACGUCGCCCGGUUGGUGGCACUUUCAUGCCGCUGAUCCGGGGAAUUUCUUCGAUCCCCCCGAUCUCCCAAUCGAACACGCCACCUUUGCGUCUCGUUUCCUUGCUGCACGCCGUUACGCGCACGUAAUUACUCGCGGACGAUCAUAGGUGAACGUGAAGUUCCUACGAUCACGUUACUUACGUACGUACGCAUUGAUUACACCCGAUACGCGAUGAUGGGACGCACGGCGUGAACGGGAAAACCGUGGCCGUCUCGCGCGUUUUUGCGCGCGACUCAAGAAUGACGCCGAGGCUCCACGGCACCGGGUUCCGUUUAAUCGAUCCACCUCGUCGUUAACGGGGAACGAUCGGUUUUAUCGCCGGAAACUUGGAGUCAUCGAUCGGACGCUCCGUUUUUCAUGUGGCUAGUGUUGCUCGCGCGGGAGACCGACCACGUGUUUGUUGCUCGCGCGGAAUCCUCUUCUGUAGAACGGGAAACCGGGACCAGUCUCAUUAAUCGAUCCCCAGGGAUACCACGAGCUGCGACGUCGAUGAACGUCACAGUGGAACGUGGCCGCUUUAGUAAAGGACAAAUAUUUGCACGAAGAAAUUAGGCGUACUACUGUUGGCCAGAGAGUUUCUCUUCUUUUUCUUUCGCUUAUUCGUCUUCUUCUUCUUCUUCUUCUUCUUCUUCUUCUUCUUCUUCUUCAUCAUCUUCUCUGCCUCUUCUUCGUCUUCGUCUUUGUUUUCGUUUUUGUCUUUGUCUUCGUUUUCAUUUUCGCCUUCUUCCGCACGGAGCAAACGGACUCGGGUCUGUGGCAAGAAUUCAGGUGUUACGUAACGGUGGAAAAGAAUGAACCGCGUUACGAGUUGGCCGACGGUUUUUCGUGAACUCGAUAAAGACCACGUGGCGAACGUGGCUGACAUUGAGCUCACGGUUCCCAGCGAUCGGCGGGGCUAGAGAGCUUCUUUUUAGUCCCUUCCAGUACCAUUUUGGUGAAAGAGAGAUCUCCGAGUCGGCGAGUGUUUGUGAAACCGUGAAACUGCGAAGCCACGCGCGUGACAUCUAUCACCCGCGACAGGUGUAUCGUAAAAUUCGCUUGUUCAUUUUGUUCUACGGGAAAACCGACACGAUUUCUCGGGCCGCGAGUGCGGCUUUCAUAGGAAACCUUGUGGUAUCGGGCCGCAGCAAUCCCGUUAAGUCUAUCGUCGAGUGUGUUUGUUGGAUUAAGGGGAGCCUACACAUGACAUUGACACUGCGGUGGAAUGUUAACACGGUGUAAGAAGAAGAAAAUGAGGGAAAAGAAGGCAGCAUUCAGGAAAAUUUAUUUGAACGCGGAACUCGGGAACCAGUACUGCCUGAGUACGUUCGGCUGACCUCAAUAGAGUUUUGGGCCGCGUCUAAGAAGAAUGAAAAGGAGACGGAGGAACCGGAGAAAACGAGAACUCAUGCGCGACGCGGCCGACCGUGCUCCCCGGAAUUUGCGUUGCAGGUUCGCGUGAACACACGUCACGGACCAGGCCCGUUAACCGAACCCGAGUAAACAAAGAUGACCGUAGAAAAAUAGCCAACGAGGAAAAAGAUAGGAGCAACAAAGAUCACGACGAUUAUCGACGAAAACGAAACAGAAAUCAAGCAGAAAUCGCUAGAAAAAGGGAAAUAAAGGACACUCGACACUAACCUGCGCAACAAAUGCUCCCAAACUGAAGGACAACGUGGAAGAGCAUCAAAGAAGCAACCAAAAAGUGGAACAACGCCGAAAGACGUGAACAAAAACUGAAGUAAAGCACUCGUGACAGAAGCGUGUGCGCGAGAGUAUCCCUGAACGAUAUUCCUUCAGAUUCGCAAGUGAUCGCGUGCGUCUUUCGCUCUUUUAAUAACCAUUCUGUAGUUUCCCUAGGCCUCCUAUCAUCCGAGGAUCAUCGUAGCCCUAGAUUACGUCAGGUGAAUAGCUGAGAGCAAUAAUAACAACACUGGAAGAAGCGUAUUAAAUCUAGGGGUGAGAAAAGAUCGAAACGACUAAGACGAAGAGAAGAAACGGAGAACACCGGAUCGGUGUUAAUAAGGGGCGAAAAGAUCGAGGGAACGGUGUGCGAGAGUGUGGGGAAGGAUAAGAAGAAGAACAAGGAGAAACAAAAACAAGAAGCAACGUAUAGCACGUUGACGAGGCAUCGAGGGUACCGCGGCAGCGGCGCGAUACGGAACGGUAAAACAGGGAGGUAAGGGAAGGAAGAAAGGCGAGGCGCAUGGAAGGUGUAACGUGGGGCCAGCGAAAGGGGGCAAGAAGCCAAGAAAGACACCAAGAAACCAAGAAACCAAGGAGAGAAGAAAAGGUAGCAUACUUACCCAAUAGGAGCAAAUACGAAGAAAGAAAUAUAGGGUAGAAGAGAAUCUUCGUCCAACGAACGAAAGGCAAGAAAUAAAGAAACUAAGGAAAGUAAAGGAAGUAAAGAAAGUAAAGAAAACGCGGGAUAGAGAGAGACAAGUAGAAACGUAACGUGCGUGCAAGAGUGUAACGUACAGCGAGGCCAAAGCGGAAGAGAGAUAGAGCAGCGAAGAGGGCAGUAGGGGGGAGACGUAACGCGAAAGAAGAGAGGGAAAAGAAGAGA